This 117-nucleotide ribosomal RNA is filed under the name uncultured Cortinarius. RNAcentral describes it as "5.8S ribosomal RNA". It matches the Rfam family "5.8S ribosomal RNA", at positions 1 to 115 of the family's 154-position model. Rfam says of the family: 5.8S ribosomal RNA (5.8S rRNA) is a component of the large subunit of the eukaryotic ribosome. Lineage: Eukaryota; Fungi; Basidiomycota; Agaricomycetes; Agaricales; Cortinariaceae. The record is from RNAcentral. RNAcentral also lists the same sequence under 1 other name.
ACAACUUUCAGCAACGGAUCUCUUGGCUCUCGCAUCGAUGAAGAACGCAGCGAAAUGCGAUAAGUAAUGUGAAUUGCAGAAUUCAGUGAAUCAUCGAAUCUUUGAACGCACCUUGCG